UACAGAGGGGGCAAGCGUUAUUCGGAAUUAUUGGGCGUAAAGGGCGCGUAGGCGGCUUUGCAAGUGACGGGUGAAAGCCCUCGGCUUAACCGAGGAACUGCCUGUCAGACUGUAAGGCUUGAGACCGGGAGAGGUGAGUGGAAUUCCCAGUGUAGCGGUGAAAUGCGCAGAUAUCAGGAGGAACACCGAUGGCGAAGGCAGCUCGCUGGGACGGUACUGACGCUGAGACGCGAAAGCGUGGGGAGCAAACAGG
This 253-nucleotide ribosomal RNA is filed under the name uncultured bacterium. Its description in RNAcentral is "partial 16S ribosomal RNA". It matches the Rfam family "Bacterial small subunit ribosomal RNA", at positions 524 to 776 of the family's 1533-position model. The record is from RNAcentral.